CAGUAGCCGCGGUAAUACGUAGGUGGCAAGCGUUGUCCGGAAUUAUUGGGCGUAAUGGGCUCGCAGGCGGUUUCUUAAGUCUGAUGUGAAAGCCCCCGGCUCAACCGGGGAGGGUCAUUGGAAACUGGGAAACUUGAGUGCAGAAGAGGAGAGUGGAAUUCCACGUGUAGCGGUGAAAUGCGUAGAGAUGUGGAGGCACACCAGUGGCGAAGGCGACUCUCUGGUCUGUAACUGACGCUGAGGAGCGAAAGCGUGGGGAGCGAACAGGAUUAGAUACCCCGGUAGUCCCUGUCUCUUAUAC
RNAcentral lists this ribosomal RNA (301 nucleotides) under uncultured bacterium. Its description in RNAcentral is "partial 16S ribosomal RNA". It matches the Rfam family "Bacterial small subunit ribosomal RNA", at positions 509 to 807 of the family's 1533-position model. The record is from RNAcentral.